Molecule: long non-coding RNA, 989 nt
Filed under: Danio rerio (zebrafish)
Lineage: Eukaryota; Metazoa; Chordata; Actinopteri; Cypriniformes; Danionidae
Description: lncRNA si:ch73-365k7.1 (ENSDARG00000097618.3)
Source: RNAcentral
GGUGCAAACUUAAGCCGUUUGCGUCGCACUGGAGACCAGUGAUGUUAAUGACUAUCGCGGGAAUAGCCGAUGGAGAACAUAGCAGCAACGCGCUUUUCCUCAGAGAAUUAACAAGAAUGAAUCUCCUCAUUGCUGACCGACACAAUCAACAAACGCCACAAACGUCGCCACGGUAAACCCGUAGCUUUUAUGUGGGGUGACGCCAAAGGACAUUGGUCAAAAGCAUAAGAUUCAGUGCAUCGGCCACCAUCAGCCUAUCCGAACAUCCGAACAGACCAAGAAAGUGAUGAUUGACGUUCCGCCACAAGAUGGCGACAGAGACUGCUUAAUAAGUUCUUAGGGGAGAAAAACAGCAUUUUCUCAGCUCAAGUUUCAAACAACAGCUAAACAAAUCAUUAUAAAUCAGGGCACUUAACAGGGAUAUAUGAACUACUCAGCCACGGCCACUAAAGCAGCAUUUUAAUCCCCGCUGUUCCAUCUGUUUACAUGAACAACUAUUCAUUCUGCAAAUUACACCUAGAGCAGGACAUACCAUAUGUAAGAUAAGAAUAGUGAAGCAAAAUACUUUCAUUAUUGAUUCACCACCAUAUUCUAAAGUUUCUUUUAGGUAACUAAGUAGAGUCCAAGUGAGCAAAUGAUCUUGAGGCGAUACCAUUACGUGCUUAAAAGGUCCUUUUUUCAGCUCUGUGGAUCAUUUCUGAGAAGUCUGAGUCAGCUAAAUGACAAUGAGGCAUUUAUAAUCUCAAAAUUAUUGACAAAAUACAUCUUUAGACUCCUUUUAAAGGUUUCACAAAGUGUUAAAGGACAUUUGCUGGAAAGAGUUUGAAUGUGGCGCAUUGAAUGUAUACAGUGCGGUUCAUUAGUGCCAGGUUUACUUGCAGCUGUAAUUGAAUUUAGGUUUGAAAUCUUUUUACACAGAAAUGUGCCUUCUUGCUAAAUUAUGUCUAUAAAGAGCUUUAUAUAAUUUUGAAUAAAGCGUGAUGAAUUCA